UGACCUCAGAUCAGGUAGA
This 19-nucleotide ribosomal RNA is filed under the name Taphrina sp. RNAcentral's name for it is "partial 28S ribosomal RNA". The record is from RNAcentral. Lineage: Eukaryota; Fungi; Ascomycota; Taphrinomycetes; Taphrinales; Taphrinaceae.